AAAUACUCGAGAGGGGCCCUCGGGGGCUGCCGUGGAGAAGGGUUUCUUGUGAACAGCCGUUGUCCAAGAGUCAGUCGAUCCUAAGCCCGGGGAGAAAUCCUACACUUAACGACGAUGACGAGAAGAACCUCGCGGCGUACGACGACGAAUAGAGACUCGCAUCGAUGACGAUUCGCGCGGAGCCCAAUCGAGUUCUCGCUUUCAGAGACGAUUGCGAUGGCCCGAUUUCUUCGCCGUGUGCUCACCACACACAGCGUCGUACAAUCGGCGAGUCAUCACGUAUACGAGCGCGCCUCUCUAGAGAGGUCGUAGUCUCUGUAUACGGGUUCCUCGAGUACGAAAGUGCGAUCGUCUGCGUUUUCUCGCCAAUUAUUCGUUUGCUCGAACGCGUCGCGUAGGAAAAAUUCGACUCGAUCGUGUUUUGGGGCGAAAGGGAAUCCGGUCCGUAUUCCGGAACCCGGCGCGGAACCGCUCCCUAGUGUUCGGGGCCCUUAAACGCGCAGCGUCACUCCGGUGUCGCUGUCGUGUGCCUCGUCCGGGUAACCGAAAUGAACCCGGAGACGUCGCCGGGGGGUCCGGGAAGAGUUCUCUUUUCUCUGUGAGCGUUGUACGUCCCUGGAAUCCGCUAGCCGGGAGAUAGGGACGCGAGCGCGAAGAGCACCGCUCGCUGCGGCGGUGUCCGUGAUCCCCACGCGAACCUUGAAAAUCCGGGAGAGGGCCACGCGGAGUCUUCGCGCCGGUUCGUACCGAUAUCCGCAGCAGGUCUCCGAGGUGAGCAGCCUCUAGCCGCAUAGAAUAAUGUAGGUAAGGGAAGUCGGCAAAUUGGAUCCGUAACUUCGGGAUAAGGAUUGGCUCUGAGGAGCGUGGCGGCUCGGGUUCGGGUUGCGCAGAAGCGGAGACGGGAAAGGCGGCGCCCUGUCGUUGGACAACGCCCUUCGGGGUGGUCGUCUGGCGGCGUGGGAUGUCUGUCGCCCGGCUUCCGUGGAACCUCCGAACUUUGCGCGGCGGCGAAUCCGCGCGUCGUUACCGUCGACACGCGGGCAACCGCGUCGUUAGGCGGUCGACGAUGUGCGGGCUCUCGCCGUCGACGCUAAUCGACUGCCAAGUAACGGUCAGCUCAGAACUGGCACGGACCAGGGGAAUCCGACUGUCUAAUUAAAACAAAGCAUCGUGAUGGCCCUCGCGGGUGUUGACACGAUGUGAUUUCUGCCCAGUGCUCUGAAUGUCAACGUGAAGAAAUUCAAGCAAGCGCGGGUAAACGGCAGGAGUAACUAUGACUCUUUUAAGGUAGCCAAAUGCCUCGUCAUCUAAUUAGUGACGCGCAUGAAUGGAUUAACGAGAUUCUCUCUGUCCCUAUUUACUUUCUAGCGAAACCACAGCCAAGGGAACGGGCUUGGAAAAAUCAGCGGGGAAAGAAGACCCUGUUGAGCUUAACUUUAGUCUAAAGCGCAAAUUGGCGCGGAUAGUAUAGUAAUAAGUGGAAAAUAAACCAAAAGAAUAUAAACGUGUAACACCACUAUAUUUGUAGUUAGUUUACUUAUCUUAUAUGUAAACUUAGUGAAAGAAAAAGCAUGAGAAAUUCUAGAGAGAAACAAUAAAGAAAAUCGCAAUCAUAAUUAACGAGGAAUCUACUAAAAAUACGGAUAGAGAAAACAAUGAAGAGAAACGAGAAAAUAGUAAUGAAAUUUAAGUAAGAAACAGACUUAGGUAGGAAGUUUGGCUGGGGCGGCAUAAUCUUUAAAGAGUAACAAGAUUGUCCAAAGUAAUACUCAACGAGAAGGGAAAUCUCUUGUCGAAUAAAAAGGUAAAAGUGAGAUUGAUUUAUAACCAAAGUAAAGAUAGAAACUGUGAAAGCAAGGCUUAUCGAUCCUUAUUCACAUUUAGCAGUUAAAGCAUGAGGUGUCAGAAAAGUUACCAUAGGGAUAACUGGCUUGUGGCUACCAAGAGUUCAUAUCGACGCAGCUUUUUGAUCCUUCGAUGUCGGCUCUUCUUAACCUUCGAAAGCAGAAUU
Molecule: ribosomal RNA, 2011 nt
Filed under: Croton tiglium
Lineage: Eukaryota; Viridiplantae; Streptophyta; Magnoliopsida; Malpighiales; Euphorbiaceae
Description: eukaryotic LSU rRNA
Rfam family: Eukaryotic large subunit ribosomal RNA
Source: RNAcentral